Molecule: ribosomal RNA, 468 nt
Filed under: uncultured bacterium
Lineage: Bacteria
Description: partial 16S ribosomal RNA
Rfam family: Bacterial small subunit ribosomal RNA
Source: RNAcentral
GACGAACGCUGGCGGCGUGCUUAACACAUGCCAGUCGAACGGAAAGGCCCUGCUUUUGUGGGGUGCUCGAGUGGCGAACGGGUGAGUAACACGUGAGUAACCUGCCCUUGACUUUGGGAUAACUUCAGGAAACUGGGGCUAAUACCGGAUAGGAGCUCCUGCUGCAUGGUGGGGGUUGGAAAGUUUCGGCGGUUGGGGAUGGACUCGCGGCUUAUCAGCUUGUUGGUGGGGUAGUGGCUUACCAAGGCUUUGACGGGUAGCCGGCCUGAGAGGGUGACCGGCCACAUUGGGACUGAGAUACGGCCCAGACGCCUACGGGAGGCAGCAGUGGGGAAUAUUGCACAAUGGGCGGAAGCCUGAUGCAGCAACGCCGCGUGCGGGAUGACGGCCUUCGGGUUGUAAACCGCUUUCGCCUGUAACGAAGCGUGAGUGACGGUAAUGGGUAAAGAAGCACCGGCUAACUACGUG